GUGCCAGCCGCCGCGGUAAUACGUAGGGCGCAAGCGUUAUCCGGAAUUAUUGGGCGUAAAGAGCUCGUAGGCGGUUUGUCGCGUCUGCCGUGAAAGUCCGGGGCUCAACUCCGGAUCUGCGGUGGGUACGGGCAGACUAGAGUGAUGUAGGGGAGACUGGAAUUCCUGGUGUAGCGGUGAAAUGCGCAGAUAUCAGGAGGAACACCGAUGGCGAAGGCAGGUCUCUGGGCAUUAACUGACGCUGAGGAGCGAAAGCAUGGGGAGCGAACAGGAGGAUAAACCAGCGGAUUAC
This 292-nucleotide ribosomal RNA is filed under the name uncultured bacterium. Its description in RNAcentral is "partial 16S ribosomal RNA". It matches the Rfam family "Bacterial small subunit ribosomal RNA", at positions 505 to 794 of the family's 1533-position model. The record is from RNAcentral.